CAUUCCAUAUUGAAAAUCACCCAGAAAAUUCGUCUCCUAAAACAGAAUUGCACUCGUGUACGAGUUCCGCAAGUUCGACGUGGAUGGUCACUCUGUCCAUCCUAAGUUUCCUAAGUUCUGCGAAAUCCUCAACGAUCGCGGCUCGGAGCAAAGGAUUGAACCUGUCAUCAGACAGACGCUAGACGAUGUGAAGUCUUCGUCCCACGCAGACCUAAGCGUUGAAGUUUUAGAAUAAGAUAGUCUUCCACACCUAGCCCAAUUUUAGGUACUCGGCAAGCCUUUAAUUUUAGUAAGAUAUAACGACAUUUUAAGAAGUCGAAUUGAUUAAAUAAAAAUCGUUAAGUGCUUCAAAUAAAAUACCUAAGGCUAAAUAAGUUUAUUGUUUAAGGUAAAUCCAUGGCGAGAAUACAUCGAGAUAUUAAACUAAUAUUCAAAUACUA
Bemisia tabaci is the source of this 440-nucleotide non-coding RNA. The record is from RefSeq and is a predicted model, not a curated record. Lineage: Eukaryota; Metazoa; Arthropoda; Insecta; Hemiptera; Aleyrodidae.